UACGUAGGGUGCAAGCGUUGCUCGGAAUCACUGGGCGUAAAGGGUGCGUAGGCGGAUUUCUAAGUCAGGGGUGAAAGCCUGAGGCUCAACCUCAGAACUGCCUUUGAUACUGGAAGUCUUGAGACCGGAAGAGGUAAGUGGAACUGCGAGUGUAGAGGUGAAAUUCGUAGAUAUUCGCAAGAACACCAGUGGCGAAGGCGGCUUACUGGUCCGGUUCUGACGCUGAGGCACGAAAGCGUGGGGAGCAAACAGGG
Molecule: ribosomal RNA, 254 nt
Filed under: uncultured bacterium
Lineage: Bacteria
Description: partial 16S ribosomal RNA
Rfam family: Bacterial small subunit ribosomal RNA
Source: RNAcentral